This 849-nucleotide long non-coding RNA is filed under the name Vigna radiata. Its description in RNAcentral is "long non-coding RNA (VRAD_LNC014041)". Lineage: Eukaryota; Viridiplantae; Streptophyta; Magnoliopsida; Fabales; Fabaceae. The record is from RNAcentral.
UUGAUUCAGUGAUAAAAAAGGGACAUAAGGAAAUUAAAGAAAUAGGUAUAGAAGAGCUCCCUAGGAGUACAAUUCUUUCAAUUCUAGGUUGUAAUCUUACAUCAUGUAUUCCAUACCAAUAGAGAAAGGAAAAAGAAACACUUUGUGUAAAGGGAAAAGGACAAGGGUUAGGCAAGAGUUUUUUAUUUUUUUUUUCAAUUAGGGCAAUAGGGAUGACAGAGAAAAUGUUGGAGUGAGAGAGAUGAAAGAUAAAGGGUUGAGAGGAAUGAGGAAGGUGAGUAAGGGUAUUUGUUAACACGCGUACGCCUGUUUUUCAGUUGGUACGUUUUAACAAUGUGUACCGGAUUAUAGUAGACAAAAAUACCCUCAUUUAUUAUGGAUUCUAAGUUUUAAGGUCAAGGAUAUUUAAAUAAUUUUCAUUCUCAAAAAACUAAAAAAAAAAAAAGAAACCCCCAAACCCUUACUCACGUCCCUCUCAACACUUUCUCUUUCAUCUCUCUCACUCCAACAUUUUCUCUAUAAUCCCUAUUGUUGCCCCAAUUGAAAAAAAAAUUAGAAACCCUUGCCUAACUCUAAUCCACCUUCCUCACUUAUCCAAUUUGUUUCUCUNUCGUCUCCAUACUCUCCCUCAGCCACACACAACCCGUGACAUCGUAAUUUGUUGCUCUUGCUCUGUUCGUUCAUUUGGAGGAUGUGUUAUAUAUUUUCCCUUCUUAUUAUUAUUAAAUUUCAUUUUUAAAUUAAAUNAUGUAAAUAAAACCUUCAUAAAUCAAUUAAAUUUUCAUACAUUAUUUACACAUCUACACCACAUUUCAUUAUAUUUUUAAAGAACAAGAUAUUUCCCUUUAU